AGGAACCUUAUAGUUUCAUCUUGUUCUUGAACCAAACCCUAGCCGCUGCCACCUUUGGUUUUUCGUCCACCUCCGCUGCAUGCCGUCAUCUCCCUCCCUUUGAUUGAUAGCCACCACGAAACGUCAUCCAUUCAAGUUGUUGUUGAAGUUGAGCCGUUGAAAGCCUCCGUUGUGCAUCGUCGCUCACCGCUGCGUUGUUCCGUCGUCGUUUUCCUCUAUCAAUGUUGUCGGUCGCAUCUCCUCUACAGUCGUCGAUCGACGGCCAAGUCUCCAAUCGAGCCAUUCUUCGCAAGUCAAAAUGCCAAGCCGAUCUCCUCCUUCGUUCGAACUGGGUGCAUGUAAGCGAGUCGUCCUCUCCCCUUCAGUCGCGUCCAAGCUGAGCCUCCCUUCGUUCCUUGCAAGCUGUCUUCGUAUUCGAGCCACAUGCGAAGCACUCUAAGCCGCAUGCCCAAGUCGAGUUCCCCCAUCUUGCAAGCUGCGAGCCUAGCUGUUUUCUCUACCUUGAGUCUUUUCCCUUUAGUCGAGCCACCAAAGCCGUUUUUGCCCUUUUUUCACCUAUUUUGGAAUAUUUUUGGUUGGGCUAGAUAAAAUUGGGGGGAUGCUGUAGAAUUUUUCCAAACCAAGGAUAAAUUGGAUUCAACCUCAACUUUAGGCAAAGGUAGAGGUAGGGUAGAAGAAAGCUCGCGAAUGACAAGAAGUGACCAUGAGUUAUCAUAGGAAAACUUUUUGCUUCAGCUUUUGCUUUACAGUUACGAUUUCAGUAUUUUUUUAUUCUUUGAUUAUUUCUCUUUUAAAACUAGAUAGGGCCCAAGCUAGAAUUUUAUUUUUAGAAAUUUGUUUCUACAUACUUUUAUUUAUUUAAAAUGUUAAUGAGCAUUUGAGGUUUUCGGUGAAAGUUAGUGUUAUUUUCUCAUUUUGUUAAGAAAAUUUUUAUUUCUUUUAAUAGUAAUGACCUGAGCUUAGUAUAAAGAUGUAACGACCCAACAUUUCCGGACUAAGCUGAGGUCACUACCAAUUACCAAAACUCGACCAUUCAAAAUAAAAUUUAAAACAGACUAGAUACGAUUCAUUAAAACAUUAUAAACCUUACAAAAGACAGUUUCGGGCCCUAUUUUUAAUAAUUCAAAAAGUCACAAAAUAAAAUGUCAAGUCACCAGUCCAAAAAUCACAAUCAAAACAUUCUGACAAAAUACAUAGCGGAAGCGAAAGAAAAACGGACGCGUCCAUAUGGCCUUCACGCAUCCUUCCUGCCUCUCGUCGGUCUGCCCCUCGCUGUAACCCUACCUGAAAGUUAAAGAAGAGAAAGGGUGAGUAUAAACAUACCCAGUAAGGGACCCACUACUGGGCCCGUUAGGGAACAACAGUUAACUUCCUAUUCGGGGGUGCCCUACAUAACAGUCUAGUGGUUCCGUAGAACGCACAUAUCAGUCUAGUGCUCCCGAAGGAUACACUUAUCAGUCUAGUGCUCCCGAAGGAUACACUUAUCAGUCUAGUGCUCCCGAAGGAUGCACAUAUCAGUCUAGUGCUCCCGAAGGAUACACUUAUCAGUCUAGUGCUCCCGAAGGAUGCACAUAUCAGUCUAGUGCUCCCGAAGGAUACACAUAUCAGUCUAGUGCUCCCGAAGGAUACACAUAUCAGUCAGGCACACUACCCCAUAGAUGAAGCUAACCGUUACCCCUCAGCCCUUACUAAACUGUCUACAUCAAUCACAUCUCAACGGCAUUCAUAUUACAGUCCCGCCAUAGGCCUUGUCAGUCAGAUAGUAUAGGUUUAACAUCUACACCCUCAGUUGCUUUAUGCAUUACCGAUUCGCACACCAAUGGGGAAAACCCUAGGUCCAAUCGACUAACCAACCAAAACCGGACUCACUGUCCUUCCCCGUCCAAACUCCAUGAACCACAUCCAGAACAGUAUUUAAUACAUACUAAACCGUAACUUUAAGGUCCAUCAACAUAUAAUUUCAAUCCUCAAUAGCAGUCACAGUAUAAUCUCAUCAGACAAAAAUAUAAUAUCAGUACUUAACAGUCAACACGCAUACAGAUAUUCAGCACAGUCACUAACGUGUAAUCCCCUGUGAAUUACUACGGUUUUAACCUGGACUCGGGGUCCAGUAGUAGGAAAACCCUUACCUGAAACUCGGUUAUGCCCCUCGAUCGAAAAUCCACGCUCGACAGAUCUACCUAACGAAACACGAAAGUUUAGUUGAUGACUUUAGUAGCAGUUGUUUUUUAAAAGAUCAGAAGCGAUGUCCGUUGACUUACCCAAGGAAAGGAAGCUAUCUCCAACCAGGCCUGCCGCGGAACCCGAGAACUUAAGCGUCAACUCUGUACUACCUUCGAGGGAGAAAAGUAGGGCCAUAACUUAAUUCAACAUUCAAACUCGAACCGGACGAGGUAACGCUAGGGAAUUCAUCAGAACAAUUCUUACCGAAAACUCACCGUGAACCGAAAUGAAGGAAGGAAGG
This is a long non-coding RNA of Cucumis melo (muskmelon), 2464 nucleotides long. RefSeq lists it as uncharacterized. Lineage: Eukaryota; Viridiplantae; Streptophyta; Magnoliopsida; Cucurbitales; Cucurbitaceae. The transcript has 3 exons. The record is from RefSeq and is a predicted model, not a curated record.